Molecule: RNase P RNA, 339 nt
Filed under: human gut metagenome
Also listed under: 1 other name
Description: Bacterial RNase P class A
Rfam family: Bacterial RNase P class A
About the family: Ribonuclease P (RNase P) is a ubiquitous endoribonuclease, found in archaea, bacteria and eukarya as well as chloroplasts and mitochondria. Its best characterised activity is the generation of mature 5'-ends of tRNAs by cleaving the 5'-leader elements of precursor-tRNAs.
Source: RNAcentral
UAGGACAGAUGAUCGCGGCUGCAGGUGUCGAAAGACCGCAGGUGAGGAAAGUCCGGGCUUCACAGGGCAGGAUGCCGGAUAACGUCCGGUGGAGGUGACUCCAAGGAAAGUGCAACAGAAAUAUACCGCCGCGCAAGCGGUAAGGGUGGAAGGGCAGUGUAAGAGACUACCGCCUUCCUGGUAACAGGGAGGGCACAUGUAAACCCCAUUCGAAGCAAGACCGAACAAAAGCGUUGACGUGGCCCGCCAGCUUUAGGUAGGUCGCUUGAAAUGACUGGCAACAGCCAUUCUAGAUAGAUGAUCAUCCAAUGACAUAACCCGGCUUACCGUCCUGCUUAA